RNAcentral lists this ribosomal RNA (250 nucleotides) under uncultured bacterium. Its description in RNAcentral is "partial 16S ribosomal RNA". It matches the Rfam family "Bacterial small subunit ribosomal RNA", at positions 524 to 773 of the family's 1533-position model. The record is from RNAcentral.
UACGAGGGGUGCAAACGUUGUCCGGAAUUACUGGGCGUAAAGAGCGCGUAGGCGGUCUGAUCCGUCGUUUAUGAAAGACCAAGGCUUAACUUUGGGAACGUGGACGAUACAGUCAGACUUGAGUAAGGCAGAGGCACAUGGAACACUCGGUGGAGGGGUGACAUCCGUUGAUAUCGAGUGGAACACCAAAGGCGAAGGCAGUGUGCUGGGCCUUUACUGACGCUGAGGCGCGAAAGCGUGGGGAGCGAUC